UACAGAGGUCUCAAGCGUUGUUCGGAUUCAUUGGGCGUAAAGGGUGCGUAGGUGGCGCCGUAAGUCAGGUGUGAAAUUUCGGAGCUUAACUCCGAAACUGCAUUUGAUACUGCGGUGCUUGAGGACUGGAGAGGAGACUGGAAUUUACGGUGUAGCGGUGAAAUGCGUAGAUAUCGUAAGGAAGACCAGUGGCGAAGGCGGGUCUCUGGACAGUUCCUGACGCUGAGGCACGAAGGUCAGGGGAGCAAACAGG
This 253-nucleotide ribosomal RNA is filed under the name uncultured bacterium. RNAcentral's name for it is "partial 16S ribosomal RNA". It matches the Rfam family "Bacterial small subunit ribosomal RNA", at positions 524 to 776 of the family's 1533-position model. The record is from RNAcentral.